UACGGAGGAUGCGAGCGUUAUCCGGAUUUAUUGGGUUUAAAGGGUGCGCAGGCGGCACGGCAAGCCGGCGGUCAAAUCGCGGGGCUCAACCCCGCCCAGCCGUCGGAACUGCCGGGCUAGAGUGGGCGAGAAGUGCGCGGAAUGCGUGGUGUAGCGGUGAAAUGCAUAGAUAUCACGCAGAACUCCGAUUGCGAAGGCAGCGUACCGGCAUCCAACUGACGCUGAGGCACGAAAGCGUGGGUAUCGAACAGG
Molecule: ribosomal RNA, 252 nt
Filed under: uncultured bacterium
Lineage: Bacteria
Description: partial 16S ribosomal RNA
Rfam family: Bacterial small subunit ribosomal RNA
Source: RNAcentral